AUGCUGUGUCGCACGACACCCAGGCUCACACACGUGUCACACGGCACCCAGGCUCACACAUGCUAUAUCACACGGCACCGAGCUCACACACGUGUCACACGGCACCCAGGCUCACACGUGUCACACGGCACCGAGCUCACACACGCAUGCUGUGUCGCACGACACCCAGGCUCACACAUGUGUCACACGGCACCCAGGCUCACACACGUGUCACACGGCACCGAGCUCACACAUGCUAUAUCACAUGGCACUGAGCUCACACACGCAUGCUGUGUCGCACGACACCCAGGCUCACACACGUGUCACACGGCACCCAGGCUCACACACAUGUCACACGGCAGCGAGCUCACACACGCAUGCUGUGUCGCAUGGCACCCAGGCUCACACACGUGUCACACAGCACCCAGGCUCACACACGCUGUAACACACGGCCCCCAGGCUGUAUCACACAGCACCGAGCUCACACACGUGUCGCACGGCACCCAGGCUCACACACGCUGUGUCACACGGCAUCAAGCUCACACACGUGUUGCAUGGCACCCAGGCUCACACGCUGUGUCACACGGCACCAAGCUCACACACGUGUUGCAUGGCACCCAGGCUCACACAUGCAUGCUGUGUCACACGGCACCGAGGGGUCGUCCCCAGCUGAGGCACAUGUGGGGAGCUUCCCUGUGCCCCCAGCCUCCCGGUACAGACGCCUCACCUAUAGCCCUUGCUCUGGAAAGGGGAGGGGACGUCAGAUGCUCCCCCGGCUCCAAGUCCCCCAGGACAGGACAGCCCCUCCCUGCAGGAUGCACAGGGCCCAGGAACCACGGCUGCACACUCCAGCUGCACACUCUGACAGGCAGCAGCUCUGGGACGCACUCGGCACUGGUGACAGAAACGACCCCCCGACCACCACCACUGCAGAGCGCCCAUCUGCACACAGACCCCACAGCUCAGUCCCCUGGCCUGGAGAAGUGGGGAGGGGCAGUGGUCAGAAAUGACCCCCCCCACCACCACCACAGAGCGCCCAUCUGCACACAGACCCCACAGCUCAGUCCCCUGGCCUGGAGAAGUGGGGAGGGACAGUGGUCAGAAAUGACCCCCACCCACCGCAGAGCGCCCAUCUGCACACAGACCCCACAGCUCGGUCCCCUGGCCUGGAGAAGUGGGGAGGGACAGUGGUCAGAAAUGACCCCCACCCACCACAGAGCGCCCAUCUGCACACAGACCCCACAGCUCGGUCCCCUGGCCUGGAGAAGUGGGGAGGGACAGUGGUCAGAAAUGACCCCCCACCACCACCACCACAGAGCGCCCAUCUGCACACAGACCCCACAGCUCGGUCCCCUGGCCUGGAGAAGUGGGGAGGGGCAGUGGUCAGAAAUGACCCCCCACCCACCGCAGAGCGCCCAUCUGCACACAGACCCCACAGCUCGGUCCCCUGGCCUGGAGAAGUAG
This 1443-nucleotide long non-coding RNA is filed under the name Oryctolagus cuniculus (rabbit). RNAcentral's name for it is "lncRNA (ENSOCUG00000036106.1)". The record is from RNAcentral. Lineage: Eukaryota; Metazoa; Chordata; Mammalia; Lagomorpha; Leporidae.